UAGCUAGUUGGUGAGGUAAAGGCUUACCAAGGCGACGAUCUGUAGCGGGUCUGAGAGGAUGAUCCCCACACUGGAACUGAGACACGGUCCAGACUCCUACGGGAGGCAGCAGUGGGGAAUUUUGGACAAUGGGGGCAACCCUGAUCCAGCCAUGCCGCGUGAGUGAAGAAGGCCUUCGGGUUGUAAAGCUCUUUCGGCCGGGAAGAAAUCGCAUGGGCCAAUACCCUGUGUGGAUGACGGUACCGGAAUAAGAAGCACCGGCUAACUACGUGCCAGCAGCCGCGGUAAUACGUAGGGUGCGAGCGUUAAUCGGAAUUACUGGGCGUAAAGCGUGCGCAGGCGGUUUUGUAAGACAGGCGUGAAAUCCCCGGGCUUAACCUGGGAACUGCGUUUGUGACUGCAAGGCUAGAGUACGGCAGAGGGGGGUGGAAUUCCACGUGUAGCAGUGAAAUGCGUAGAGAUGUGGAGGAACACCAAUGGCGAAGGCAGCCCCCUGGGUCGAUACUGACGCUCAUGCACGAAAGCGUGGGUAGCAAACAGGAUUAGAUACCCUGGUAGUCCACGCCCUAAACUAUGUCAACUAGGUGUUGGGUGGGUAAAACCAUUUAGUACCGUAGCUAACGCGUGAAGUUGACCGCCUGGGGAGUACGGCCGCAAGGUUAAAACUCAAAGGAAUUGACGGGGACCCGCACAAGCGGUGGAUGAUGUGGAUUAAUUCGAUGCAACGCGAAAAACCUUACCUACCCUUGACAUGCCAGGAACUUGCCAGAGAUGGCUUGGUGCCCGAAAGGGAGCCUGGACACAGGUGCUGCAUGGCUGUCGUCAGCUCGUGUCGUGAGAUGUUGGGUUAAGUCCCGCAACGAGCGCAACCCUUGUCGUUAAUUGCCAUCAUUUAGUUGGGCACUUUAACGAGACUGCCGGUGACAAACCGGAGGAAGGUGGGGAUGACGUCAAGUCCUCAUGGCCCUUAUGGGUAGGGCUUCACACGUCAUACAAUGGUCGGUACAAAGGGUUGCCAAGCCGCGAGGCGGAGCCAAUCCCAGAAAGCCGAUCGUAGUCCGGAUUGCAGGCUGCAACUCGCCUGCAUGAAGUCGGAAUCGCUAGUAAUCGUGGAUCAGCAUGUCACGGUGAAUACGUUCCCGGGUCUUAUACACACCGCCCGUCACACCAUGGGAGCGGGUUCCGCCAGAAGUAGGUAGCCUAACCGUAAGGGGGGCGCUUACCACGGCGGGGUUCGUGACUGGGGUGAAGUCGUAACAAGGUAGCCGUAGGGGAACCUGCGGCUG
RNAcentral lists this ribosomal RNA (1286 nucleotides) under metagenome. Its description in RNAcentral is "bacterial SSU rRNA". It matches the Rfam family "Bacterial small subunit ribosomal RNA", at positions 242 to 1520 of the family's 1533-position model. The record is from RNAcentral.